GUCGUGCCUGUGGAGUAGUGUGCUAAGGGUUGCGCUCAUUGUGUUAGCAAGUUGGAGAGGUUGUUUGUUUGCUAUUCUCUUGAUGUCCAGAUCGGGGUCUAGUGUGCAAUUGAGAUCGCCACAGAUAAUAGUGUGCCCUACACGGAUAGUAGCGAUUUUAUUCAGUGCUCUUUUAAUGAAGGAAAUUUGGGAAUUGUUGGGUGCAUAAAUGGAAGCAAUUGUAAGUUGCAUACCAUUCAGC
This is a non-coding RNA of Pelobates cultripes (western spadefoot toad), 241 nucleotides long. The record is from the annotation of a GenBank genome assembly. NCBI's taxonomy places the organism in Eukaryota, Metazoa, Chordata, Amphibia, Anura, Pelobatidae.